Molecule: long non-coding RNA, 859 nt
Filed under: Triticum aestivum (bread wheat)
Lineage: Eukaryota; Viridiplantae; Streptophyta; Magnoliopsida; Poales; Poaceae
Description: long non-coding RNA (TAES_LNC013964)
Source: RNAcentral
UAUGUUAACUUUUGUAUGUACCAACUAUUUAUAUGUGUAUUUUCUUCGUGUGUACCAACUACUGUUUUCAUGCUAUGAACUGAUGGUCCUAUGGGAGACAUACAGAAUUCGGUGAUGGUUAAGUUCAACCAGAAGAUCCAAAAAUUCAUCUAUCAUGGAAAUGUGUAGUUUUAUUCAGACAAAUGCUUUAUUCAGGAACAUUUAUUCAUCAUUUCCAUAUUGCAACUAGUACUUGCCACACAUGAUGAUGCAUGACAUUUUUAUUUUGCCACCGCUACAUUGAUCAACUAGUACGCACCACCAGGGUAAGUAGCCACCAUGGGAAUGUUGUAGGCGGUGGGGGCGGGGCAUUGUACCGGGAUGUAGAUGCUACACAUCGACCGCAGGGCCUGAAGCGACAUCCUGAUGCUCUCAAGUUGUGCUGGCUGCUGGGCCUGGUACAUACCCUGCCAUUGUUGUUGGGGUCGUUGUUGCCUGAUAGCCUCAGCCACGUUGUGGAUGGCUUGGCAACGGAAUUGCUCCGGGAUAUGUGAUAACUGCCGGCAACAUUGGUGUUGCACAUUCUGGCAGCUGGUAGGCUGAUCCACCAGUGUCUGGGGGAAUGGCACUGUCAUUGGGCUGCACUGCUGCUGCAGGAAUGUCGCACACGGUGUCAACUGCUCCUGCAAUUAUUGUUGUUGUUGUUGGCCCAAUUGUUGUUGUUGCUGGCAUUGUACCGGGACGGAGAUGCUGCACAUCAAUGAUAGGUUCUCAAGCAACAUCCUUAUGCUCUUAUGUUGUGCUUGCUGUUGGGGCUCCUGCCAUUGUUGUUGGGGUUGUUGUUGCAUGAUAGCCUCUACCACGCUGUGGAUGGCAUGGC